UAUUUCUCAAAGGCGGUGUGUUUGUUGUACGAGUGCACAUGUCCGUUUACAGGCCCAUCUCCCCGUAUUCCAUCCAUUUUGAAGGGUGAAAAUCAAGCGAAUCAAUUCUCUCUCAUCUGCAUUUAGGCUCAUCGUUUUCUCCACCGCUGUGUCAUCGACCAAGCCAUUGUAAUCUCAAAUCUCAAUACCGGCAGAAAGCAUACCCUAGUUCCGAAAUCUAUACCUCUAACAUUCAAGUCUUACAAAGGUAUUCUCAUUCUCAUUCUCAUUUUCAUUAAAAACCUAACCUCUGCACGAGAAAUCAGGUGAUUCUCGAGAAACUAAAGAGAAACGGAUGUCAAAAUUCCUUUACGUAGAACUUGAAGAGCAUGCAAUUGUUUUGGAAUCAGGUCGCUCAUAAAGAGGUACUAAUAAUCAGUUGCAUCCCCCUCCCAGUUCCAUCUAGGUUUGAAGAGAUUCAAAAUAAAGCAGUGAAGAGCUUGAACCACUCAUGGAUAAAGCAGAGCUUGCUAUCCUGGACCAACUCUUGGAUUUCUAUAGAUACUCUGAUCAAAAUCGCCGAUUAUGGAUACUUGCAAUGUGUACUGUUGAAGAAGAUUGGAAUGUUGUAGAGGUGCUUGAUUGAUAUGCAUGGGUGUUCACAAUAACAGGGAAGUGUAUUCGUCUUAUGGGGGGUAUGCGGAAGCCGUAGGGGAAACCACAUUUGUUCGUUGCUCUCGAGUUACGGAGAAUUCCUGAAUUUGAGUUGAGAUAUAGGCUUGGGUUUGCUUUUGGUGGUCUGUUAUGUUGAUCUCCGUUUGACGCACAGCUAUGAGAAGCCUAUAAAUUCCCACUGUCCUCCCAGUUUCGUCUCAUUUUUAUUGAUCCAACCUUAGUAAGGAGUGCUGAGCAUGGAAACGAUGAAGAAGGAAAUAACUGAAAAAUGUGGCUACCGGGAUAAGGAGAACACAAAUAAGUACCCUUGCUGAUGUUGUGCUGGGAUUGGAUUCCAUUGAACGGUUGAACAAUAUUUGGUGAGUUAUGAUCCACAUCUUGCUGAUCUAUCUAAAGCUCCAAACGACAUUAUGACAUUAGCCUGUAGUCAUUCAAGAAAUUUUCUGAGAAUCAAGCGAGCAACCAAUACAAUUCAGUUUUUUUUUCCAAGCUGAUUUUAGCUACAGAAAAUGAGUGUAUCCUCCUAUGAGCAAUAUAAACUCCUAAAUAUGGAUAUCAUAAAGUAUAUAGUUGAGAUCCAGGAUUGACACAAUAUCAGAUCUCAUGAGUUGGAUAUUUAGGACUUUGAUAUGUUUUUUACAGGGAUUUUCCCGUGAAAGAUCAAGAAUAUAAAGUUUAGGACGAGACUCUUGCUUCUAUCACAGAUGGGACUUAUGUACACCCUUCAAGCAAAAGAACAAUUCUAACUCCUGUGAAUAAUCUCAAACAUACAUUAUAGCUUUCAAAUCGCCUUUAGUUCACUUAA
This is a long non-coding RNA of Papaver somniferum (opium poppy), 1459 nucleotides long. RefSeq lists it as uncharacterized. The record is from RefSeq and is a predicted model, not a curated record. Lineage: Eukaryota; Viridiplantae; Streptophyta; Magnoliopsida; Ranunculales; Papaveraceae. The transcript is spliced from 7 exons.